This 394-nucleotide long non-coding RNA is filed under the name Equus asinus (donkey). RNAcentral's name for it is "lncRNA (ENSEASG00005036126.1)". The record is from RNAcentral. Lineage: Eukaryota; Metazoa; Chordata; Mammalia; Perissodactyla; Equidae.
AGUGUUAACUAAUGGAAUAUCCAAGAAGGCAGCCCCUAAAGUUGGUCAGCCUCCCAUUCCUAUUGUUCCUCACUGAUCCAAGCUAGAUGCCUGAUUGCCUCCCGGGGGUCUCUGCACACCUCUUUUUGUGGAUGUUUGAUUGCUGGGAGGGGGAACACUUUAAGGAUCAAUGGACAAAGGUGAUCAAGAUCUGGCAACCCUACCUGGAGGGCAAAGUCGCUCUCGGUUGAGAAGCACUACAUCAGAACAAGGCUGGAAAUGGUUAUGAAAGCCAUAGAUAAAAACAAAACCAAGCACAGCUUAAUACCACCUCACUAGAGACACAUUUUAGAUACAUGCUUUAAAGAAAGACACAUUUUCCAUUUAUACUUGAAAGAAACAACCAGAGAAAAAU